This is a long non-coding RNA of Oncorhynchus gorbuscha (pink salmon), 3646 nucleotides long. RefSeq lists it as uncharacterized. The record is from RefSeq and is a predicted model, not a curated record. The transcript is spliced from 3 exons. Lineage: Eukaryota; Metazoa; Chordata; Actinopteri; Salmoniformes; Salmonidae.
GUGAUGUCAUAACACUCACAGCGUGGAUGUCCUGGUGGUCUGGGGUUACUGGUACUGCUGCCAAAGGAGGACUGGAUGUUGUGGAUGGUCUACUGCAAAAUCUGCCUCUCUCUCCCCUGCAGCAACAAUUCAGGCAUCUGAAAGUCAUGGCGGGGUGGACGGUGGUGUUGCUGGGAAUGGUGUGAUCUGAUUCCUGGGACAAAGUCUGUGCCCUACUUUCUCCUGAACUCUGUGGCAAGGUGUCCUGAAUGUCAGACAGAAGUUCUGUUGUCUUAAAGCGACAUCACAAACCAAAGUCAACAUCCCUGGUCAUCUAUUCUGUUGCUCCGGCUAUAUACCACAAUAGAAAAAGAGUGGAAAAGAGCACCAUAUAAUUUCCAGAUUUGCGGUGGUAAUCUUUAAUAUUUUUGGGGGGAUGAGCCAACACACAUUUGAGUGAGAAUCCAAUUUACAUUUGAGGGAGAAUCCAACUCACCUUUGAGGGAGAAUCCAACUCACCUUUGAGGGAGAAUCCAACUCACCUUUGAGGGAGAAUCCAACUCACCUUUGAGGGAGAAUCCAACUCACCUUUGAGGGAGAAUCCAACUCACCUUUGAGGGAGAAUCCAACUCACCUUUGAGGGAGAAUCCAACUCACCUUUGAGGGAGAAUCCAACUCACCUUUGAGGGAGAAUCCAACUCACCUUUGAGGGAGAAUCCAACUCACCUUUGAGGGAGAAUCCAACUCACCUUUGAGGGAGAAUCCAACUCACCUUUGAGGGAGAAUCCAACUCACCUUUGUUCAUGUGUUUUUUCUAUGCACUUAUUUGAUUGUCACAAAGCUAAUUCCUUUCCUUUGGUAGAGAAAACUCUGAAGGUGGAAAUAGAAGCACAUGUUGAAUGUGUCUCCUUCCUCUGAUAGAUUCUGCGAAUAGACAAAAUCAACAAGAGAACACACUAGCAGCACUUUACGAUGUGCGUUUCAACUUCUAGCACUCUGGCUCAUCAAAACAAAAAUAAACUCACUGAAAUGAACAAUGCACAGCGCAAGCAAUUUUGGACAAAUGAACUGUUCUAUUUUCACUGGCAUUGUGACAGAUUGAAUGUAUUUGAUGCAUUUUCUUUGCUAAACAGAACAUUUAUUAUCAGCACGUUGUCUUAGAUAAAUGAGUUUGAGUAGGAGGAAAAACAACAUAAAAAGGGCUUUUGUUUUUCUAUAAGUAGUCAUUGGACCUAAUGUAUUAUAACAGAUAGUGCGCCGCAGAUAAUAGUUUUUUGACAGUAGUCUUCAACACUGCCAAGAAUUCUGUGUCCUAAAUUGAACCUUUGAGGAUUUUGAGUAGAACGGAGACGUGAAGCCGGGGGGAAUCGGGUCUGGAUCCUAAAAGCCCACUGAGGCUUUUUGUUUUUCUGGCCGCGAUGUAACAGUCAGGAACAGGUGCAGGAGCUUUCAAAUGUAUUAUUGGGGAAAUUCCCUUGUCUUUGUGAUCAUGGCUUUUUCAGUGAGGGACAGAUAUUCUCCCAAGGUUUAUGUUGAGUUGAUUGGGGCUCAUGAGAAAAAGUGGAAAGUAUUGUCACACAUAGCAAUCAUCACUGAUAUGUCAUUAACCUCCAGCAUCUGCAACUUCGAUGACACGUUCUGUAAUUUCCUCCCCCUCUUUCCCCCUCGUCCCGUCACAACAUUCAGGAGACACCGUGCCCAGGAUACGGAUGCAGAAUUACUGUCAAUACGUUGGCUCCCACAGCUCAUUCUGACAUUGGUUGCAGCAUAAUUAUGUCCUGCUGUAUCUGUCAUCCAACACUGGCAUAAAGUAUCGACAUCCACAUGGCUCCGUAUGAGAACAGCGUCCAUUUUAGGUCAGCAUCACAUAGAAGUUGGAAGUUGUGUUGAACUCAUACAAACAUCUCUCAUCCAGAGUUGGCUUCACUGGACUUGGUGUAAAAAUCAGACAAACAUGGUGUCAACAGUUGAAUCAUUGGGUCUAUAGCUGGCUACGUCAGUCAUAGUGAGUAACUUGCUAACAAUAAUAAUAUCUAAAUAUUAUAACCUAACACACUAUGCUUUGAAUUAGGUCAUCCUCUGAUUGGUUGAAGGUGAUCCAAUUGCUGACAAAUCAAUAUUAAAUAAUGCACUUCAUUACAGAUGUAUGCUCAAGCGGUUUGAAUGAAUAGGAUAGCCAGACUGAUACGUGAAGUGGAACAGGAAUAGUAAACAACGAUCAGGCAAAUCUUUACAAGGCCCCUGAAGCCUUUAAACCUCAUCUCUAAAGUCAACAGGAAAUAAUAUCUCCCUUCAUGUUCAGCUCGGCAAGUCACAGGAACAGAAAACUGUUAGGUGGCAAGACAGUCAGUCUGAACCUGUAAUUCAAACAUAAUUCACCUUUUGACUAAUGUUCUCAGUUGUUCUCUCACUGCUGUCCCAUAACACUUUCCAUCUAAUUUCACCUCACGAAGACGGCAAAAAACGAAAGGCAGGAGAUUUGUACUUAGCUCUUGAGGGAAUCUGUGAUUUUUUUUGCCAACUGCCUUCAUUGUGUUUACAUUGCCAGCUUUCAAGAAACUGACAAGAUUGGAAAGUUGGAAAGGAAGUGACAAGAAACACAAAACACAAUAUGAAGCUCAGUCUGCCACAAUCUGUUCCAUUGUCGGUUGCAAACAUUUAGGCUACUCCCCUGGACAUGCGCCAUUAAUUACAAAACUGAACCAUUUUCUCCAGUCUGUCAGUCAUUUGAUUUAGUUUCCCCACAGACAAAUAUAAAUGAGUUGAAGUAAUUAUGCUAAAUGGUUGUAUCAGAGGACUACUGUCAACAGAGCAACACUGAAAGCUCCUCUGUCUCUUGUUGCUCUGGCUGGCUAGCAGAUAAUACAUGUUGAUAUUUCAAGUGUCUCCAGUGUCUGUCAUUCUGUUCGGACCUGUGUGCUGUGCAGCUUGUUGAGGAAACUUGGCGGCUUUAAUUAUGUCUACAUGACAGAUGUUACAGAAUUGCAGAGCUCCUUGUCACAGAAACUUCAGCAGGAGGGACUAGGGUGUCAAAGAGAGGUGGCAGACUUGUCAAAAAAUCUGCCAGAUGUUAUGUCAUGGAAAUCAAAUAAAUAAAUAACUUGAUUUUCAGAAGCCAAUUUACCAGCAUCUGAAGCGCAGCCUUUGCUUGCAGCAAUUUCUUUAAUUACAUAUUUAUACAUAGACUUAAUUCAACAAAAUGAUUAAAUGAGAAAUAGGCUGGGUAAUACAAACACACCAUUGCAUUAAAAACUAGGGGUUUUAAAGGUCAUGGCAAGAAUGUUCCCUGUCUAUAAAUGUACGAUCAUUUACUCUACAAAAAACGGAAACAAAACCCCAGGAUGCUUCAGAGCUGAGUGUGACGGUGAAGGGCAGUGUGGAGUUUAUAUCAUACCUCAUUUUGUUUUUAUAUUAAGAAUAUCAUAUUUUCCACCACUUUUCUCACAAAAUUACAUUUUUUGAUAAAACAAAACAUUAGAGUGCAUUCUGAAAGUAUUCAGACCACUUAUUCACAUUUUGAUGCGUUUGAUAUGUUCCAUGUUGAUACGAUACCCUUAUCCUAAAAUUGAAUUUAAAAUGUUUUUUCCUAUCACUCUACACACAAUACCCCAUAAUGACAAAGCUAAAACAGGUUUUUAGAAUUUGUUGCAAAUGUAUUUAAAAAAAU